This 814-nucleotide long non-coding RNA is filed under the name Elaeis guineensis (African oil palm). RNAcentral describes it as "long non-coding RNA (EGUI_LNC005618)". Lineage: Eukaryota; Viridiplantae; Streptophyta; Magnoliopsida; Arecales; Arecaceae. The record is from RNAcentral.
GUUGGUGCAAAAAUCUGCCUGCGCCGGAGAAGCUGGAGUUGAGGAAGCCGCGGUCGCCGCCGGGACCUGCAAGGGAAGUCUAAACCGGAGGUGGGGUUGCUCCGGCAAGACCCUCCGACGCUCAAGUCAGUUCUCUGCCUCAACAAGAAUUGAGUGCUCGAACAGAGAGUUUAGCAGAGUUUUAAGAUAAGGCAAAAGAGCUUAAAGAAUAACGUAUCUGAGUCCCCCUUUUAUAGGCGGGGGAGGCAACGGACUGAUGGCGACGUUUGUAACCGCCUGGUAGUGGACCGCCCAUGGUCAGGGGAAUUGAUUGCGAAAGAUAAUGGAGCAGACACGUGGCCAUCAUCAUAGCCCGCUGCAGGUAGUGGAGCGGCGUCCGUUGCCGCUAGUUGUCAGCGAGUAGUGGGAUCGUGCAGCACCUGCCGCAGGGAGCGGAGCAGCAUCAUAGCUGUCGACACAGCCUGUCAGAGAGUAGUGGGAUCGUGCAGCACCUGCCGUAGAGAGCGGAGCAGCAUCAUAGCUGUCGACACAGCCUGUCAGAGGGUAGUGGGAUCGUGCAGCACCUGUCGCAGGGGGAGGUGGAGCUGCGCGGAAUCCACUACAGGAAGUGGAACAGGAUCUUGGCAGUUAUUGUUAUCUGCCAAGGGACGCGGAUCUGUCGAUCAAGGCUCGACAGCGGUCGGAGUUCGGCCUUUGCAGGAGUCCGGGAGGAGUCCCCCCCUCGGUUGAGGUCGUGGGUGGGGUUCGGCUCCAGCGGCUGAUGCUGAGGUCGGAGCUUGGCUCCCGUAGGAGUCCGGGUGAAACCCUCUCGGAA